CACCGCGGUUAUACGAGGGGCUCAAAUUGAUGUGUAACGGCGUAAAGAGUGAUUAGAGAAUACCUAACUAAAGCUGAAAACACCCUCAGUUGUCAUACGCUAAUGGUAAAUGGAAAGCCAGGAACGAAAGUAGCUUUAAAAAUCUUGAAUUCACGACCAUUGAGGAA
Molecule: ribosomal RNA, 167 nt
Filed under: Ariosoma anago (silvery conger)
Lineage: Eukaryota; Metazoa; Chordata; Actinopteri; Anguilliformes; Congridae
Description: partial 12S rRNA
Source: RNAcentral